Pongo abelii (Sumatran orangutan) is the source of this 304-nucleotide unclassified non-coding RNA. It matches the Rfam family "Metazoan signal recognition particle RNA". Rfam says of the family: The signal recognition particle (SRP) is a universally conserved ribonucleoprotein. The record is from Ensembl. Lineage: Eukaryota; Metazoa; Chordata; Mammalia; Primates; Hominidae.
GCCAGGUGCAGUGGCACAUGCCUGUAGUCCCAGCUACACAGGAGGCUGAGGCAGGAGGAUUGCUUGAAGCCAGGAAUUCUGGGCUAUUAUAGUGUGCUAUGCUGACUGGGUGUCAUCAUACUAAGUUUGGCAUCAACAUGUGGAUCUCCUGGGAGUGGUGGACCACCAGGUUUCCUAAGGAGGGGUGAACCUGCCCAGGCCAGAAAUGGAGCAGGUCAAAAUUCCCGUCCCGGUCAGUAGUGGGAUCGCCCCGUGAAGAGCCACGGCACUCUAGCCUGGGCAACAUAGUAAGACCCCAUCUCUU